GACGAACGCUGGCGGCGUGCUUAACACAUGCAAGUCGAACGGAAAGUCCCUGCUUUUGUGGGGUGCUCGAGUGGCGAACGGAUGAGUAACCCGUGGGUAAGCUGCCCUUGACUUUGGGCUAACUUCAGGAACCUGGGGCUAGUACCGCAAAGGAGCUACUGCGGCAUGGGGGGGGUUGGCGUGUGUGGGCGGUGGGGGAUGGGCUCGCGGCUUCUGAGCUUGUAGGUGGUGUCGUGGCUUACCAAGGCUUUGACGGGUAGCCGGCGUGAGAGGGGGACCGGCCACAUUGCGACGGAGGUACGGCCCAGACUCCUACGGGAGGCAGCAGCGGGGAAGAAUGCACAACGGGCGGAAGCAUGAUGCAGGAACGACGCGUCGGGGAGGAAGGCGUUCGGGGUGUAAUGCGCUUCUGUCCGUGACGAAGAGUGAGUGACGGUAAUGGGUAAAGAAGCACCGGCUAACUACGUG
RNAcentral lists this ribosomal RNA (468 nucleotides) under uncultured bacterium. RNAcentral describes it as "partial 16S ribosomal RNA". It matches the Rfam family "Bacterial small subunit ribosomal RNA", at positions 28 to 507 of the family's 1533-position model. The record is from RNAcentral.